Molecule: long non-coding RNA, 572 nt
Organism: Capsicum annuum
Lineage: Eukaryota; Viridiplantae; Streptophyta; Magnoliopsida; Solanales; Solanaceae
Exons: 3
Source: RefSeq, a predicted model, not a curated record
AUUUUCACUCACACACCGUUAGCGCCUCUCUCUCUCUCUCUCAUCUCAUCUCAGUCUCUCUCUCAGAUUAACUGCUCAAUUUUCGCUUAAUUUUUCCUUAAAGUUUGCUCGUCUGCUCGACUGUUACUAGCUUGUUGGCUUGCUGCUCACAAUCAUUCACUCAGGUUGGACUUUUUUCACCGUUUGUGAAAAGUUGUGUCACCUAACAAAAGUGAAAAAGGUUUCACCAUGUCUCAACAUUGUGGUCCUAAAGUUUCAUCACCUGUUUGGAAUCACUAUCAAAAGUUUGAAGAAAAUGAUGAUAGAGGGUGCAAAGUGAGGUGUAUUCAUUGCAGUAAUAUUUAUAAUUACCAUCCACAACAUACCAAGACUUCCUUCUUGAGGGCUUAUGUUGAUCGUUGUUUGGAGAGGAUAGAGUAUCGUGCUCGUAGUAUAAGACUUGAGUAGUAAUUAGUAUUAUUACUAUGUUUGAAAUUUAAACUUAAUUUUCAAAUUGUGUGACUGUUACUUUGGAUUUUUCCUACUCUAUUUAUGCUAGACCAGUAGAUACUAGACAGUUUUAAAUUUGUGAA